UGCGUAGGUGGCAAUUUAAGUUGGAUGUGAAAUCCCCGGGCUUAACCUGGGUGGUGCAUUCAAAAACUAGGAUAGCUAGAGUGCAGGAGAGGGGAAGCGGAAUUCCUAGUGUAGCGGUGAAAUGCGUAGAUAUUAGGAGGAACACCAGUGGCGAAGGCGGCUUUCUGGACUGUAACUGACACUGAGGCACGAAAGCGUGGGGAGCAAACA
This 210-nucleotide ribosomal RNA is filed under the name uncultured bacterium. RNAcentral's name for it is "partial 16S ribosomal RNA". It matches the Rfam family "Bacterial small subunit ribosomal RNA", at positions 568 to 774 of the family's 1533-position model. The record is from RNAcentral.